GAAAUGCGAUAAGUAAUGUGAAUUGCAGAAUUUAGUGAAUCAUCGAAUCUUUGAACGCACAUUGCACCUCUUGGUAUUCCUUGAGGUAUACCUGUUCGAGCGCCGUUUGUGUCAUAAGGCUCUGUCUUGCGAUGAUGGAAUCCGCGAUGGAUCUGUCGAAACAAAUGGGCGUCUGGUCCAUGUCCGACUUGCAGCGAAGAUGCGAAAAGGACAGGAGGAGGCGGCAUGUUUAAUUCUAAGCAUGGCCUCGGAUCAGGUAGGGAUACCCGCUGAACUUAA
This 279-nucleotide unclassified non-coding RNA is filed under the name uncultured Monodictys. RNAcentral describes it as "sequence contains ITS1". The stretch from base 1 to 105 matches the Rfam family "5.8S ribosomal RNA", at positions 50 to 154 of the family's 154-position model. The record is from RNAcentral. Lineage: Eukaryota; Fungi; Ascomycota; Sordariomycetes; Microascales; Halosphaeriaceae.